UAAUAGCUUCAUUUUUUAGUUACCCUGGUAUGCCACAUGUAAGGAAAAACCCAAACCAGCUUAUCAGUAUAAAGUUAAACAACUAAAGCAAACGUAAAGAUAGGCGAGCCACAGUGCUCAACAUUAAACAAUUCUUUCGGUAGAGAUUUAAAUACAGGGUAUCAGAGAGGGCAAACAGCGUGCCAGCAGCCGCGGUUAUACGCUGCUCUCAACUGAAAAGCAAAUCAAUCCUAGUGCCUAAGUACGUUCUUUAUUAGUAGAAUAUAUGAGAAAAAGAAUUCACGCAACCACUGACCUUCCUAAAAAAGGAGAGUUAAGAGACAGGGAUUAGAUACCCCAUUAUUCUCUCCCGCGAGAUGAGUACUACGAUUCCUAAAUUAAAACUCAAAUUACUUGGCGGCCUUUCAUCACACACCAGAGGAGUUUGUGCCAUAAUCGAUAACCCGCGAGAUACCUAACCACUCUUCGACAAUCAGCUAGUAUAUCCUCGUCGUCAAAUAACUCUAUAAAGACGUUAUUUCAAAGUAAAUUAACCCAAAGUCAGAUCAAGAUGCUGCUUAUGGAGUGGGUGUUUCAUGAACUACAAAAGCUUUAGAAAAAUUCUAACUUAAGGUGUUAAAUAACCUAAUGUUAGGAGGAUUUGGAAGUAAUAUUAUAAAUAUAGAAGAAAGAUAUGAAAAAUGAAAUGAAAGGUGCACACAUCGCCCGUCACUCUCGUCUUUAAGACGAGAAAAGUCGUAACAAAGUAGAAGUACCGGAAGGUGUUUCUAGAAUCUUUCCUCAGUUAACUAUAACAGAGGACCCUCAAAUAUUCAUAGAACCUCAGUAACCUCAAAGGUCGGAAAGAAUUUGGUAAUUUAAUUUUUAGAAAGAUACGAAAGAUCUUAUCUUCUUUUAUUCAAAGUAUAGCUAGGAAGUAAGCUUUU
Molecule: ribosomal RNA, 926 nt
Filed under: Euapta godeffroyi
Lineage: Eukaryota; Metazoa; Echinodermata; Holothuroidea; Apodida; Synaptidae
Description: small subunit ribosomal RNA
Source: RNAcentral